UUUAAUAUCAUUAUACAAAAACAAAAUAUCAUUAUACAAAAAAAAAUAUUAUUUAUUGAAGACUACUAAUGGAAAUUCUAGUUUUUUAAUUACAUUUUUGUUAUAAAUAAAUUACUGUUUUAUUUGUUUUCACCAACAAUCACCGACAAACGGUUUCCUAGCAAUUUAAAUGAAAAAAUAAAAAAAAUAUCGAAAUAGAGGGGUUCAAUGAAAAAAAUUAAAGGUUAAUUUCUAUUUACUUUUUCAUAAUUAAGCAAUUAACCCUCAAACAACUUUGAUAGGUCAACAUUGAUCGACAAACGACCAACAAACGAUUGCAAUUGAAAUAAAUCGGAUCGGUUUAUAUUGAGUUGGUAUAUAAUGAGGAAUGAUUAUCAAUAUCACUUUUGCGAUUUAUUUUAUUUUAUUAUGGUCAUCAUCAGUGAAUGGAAUAAUUGGGUAUGAUUGCGAAAGAUUUUCAUCAAAUUCAACUACAAUUUCAAUUACAGAGGUGGGAGAUUGUGAUAUUCAUCCUAAAGAAAUAAAUACAACAGAACGAUUUAUUCAAUUAUUACAAUUAAAAGAAUAUUCUUUGACAAAAGUUAUUCAAUGUAAAAUUGAAGUAGAUCGAAAUAUUUAUUAUUGCGGGGCUUAUUCUCAUAUGUCAGUCGUACAUAGUGGACAUAUGGAAUAUAUUGAAGAAAUUUCAAAAGAAAGAUGUUUAGAUAUUCAUAAAUCGGGUUCAUAUAGAUUCGGUACGUUAUUUAUAACUGAUUUAAAAAUUAAUAGUACAACUACGCGUGGUGCAACACUCGCAGGAUCAAUCGGUAAUGAUGGGACGUGUAAAGGGGGAAGUUAUUCAGAUUUUUAUGGAAGUUGGAGUAGUAUUGUCGCUCAAGGGGUUUUAAAAAUAACAAUACAAGAAUAUUUCGCGGAAGUUAUAUAUGAAAAUGAUAAAGUUUAUUUAAAAUCAGGUUUAACGUGUACUUUAUCUGAUUUAUCUUGUUUAGAUUUAGAGGAAGGUUAUACUUUUUGGGACUAUAUUCCAUCACACAAAUGUGAUUUUCAAAAUUUCGGGGUUUUAUAUACGGGUAAAGUAAAUAAAACAUCUGAGAAAAAUUCAGAUAAGCAUGAAAUUGUUUAUUCUUUAGAAUCAAAUGGAAUAACAUUUGCAUUAACCACCACAAAUAUUGGAAUUAUUUGUGGUUAUAAAAUAAUCAGAACUGAACAUCCAAAAUUAUUUAUCUUUGAAACAUCAAAGAAUGAUUUAAUGUUAAGUAAUAAAAUAUCAAUAGAAAAUUUAGAUUUAUUUGCAUAUAUUAAUUCUAAGUUUGUAUACGUAGAAAAAUUUAUACAAAAACAAAUUAAACAAUUAUAUUAUGAUGUAUUAAUUCAUCGUUGUAUGUUAGAACGUAAUACUUUAAAAAAUUAGUUAUCAAUUGCGUCAAGUAAACCAGACGAGUUUGCUUACAAUUAUAUGAAAGGACCAGGUUAUAUAGCUAUAAUGUCAGGUGAAUCGAUAAAUGUUGUUAAGUGCAUACCUGUUGAAGUAUCAGUUUACCCAAGAACAGAGUGUUAUAACGAAUUACCAGUGAAAAUAGCAAAUGACAGUUACUUUUUAACUCCAAAGACAAGAAUUUUAGUAAGAAAAGGAACUCAGAUUGAUUGCAAUCCACUUUUUCCACCUUUAUUUUUAAUAGAUGGAUCAUGGUAUAAAUUUACACCUAAUCCAGUUGAAGUUUUACCACCAAAUAAAAUUCAACCAUUAACUAAACCAACAUGGAAAUAUACUUCUCCAAAAUUCUUAGCUACAAGCGGAAUUUAUUCUGAACAAGAUCUCGACAAAUUAAGACAUAGAAUUAUGUCUCCAGUGGAAAAACCAGCGAUUUUAAGUAAUAUUGCUAGAGGAAUGGAUGUUUUGAAUUUUGCAAAUCAAGAUGAAAAUUCCUGCCGGAGUACUUAAGCAGAUGAAAGAAGAUGAAGAAUUAGAUGCAUUAUAUGGAAUUCCACAUACAAGAAUUCCUGGAAGAAAUUUAAAAUUUUAUGCAAGUUUGAUAACAUCAUAUUGUACCAUGCCAAGGGAAAUAGUAAAAGAAUUUUAUCAUAAUGACUUUGAUAACGCAUCUAUGUGCGAAAACUGUUUAAAAGACUGUCCAAUGAUUUUUAUGAAAAGAUUUAAAUAUUGCAAUCAAAACUGGCAUCGUUUAUAUCCGUAUAAAAUUUCGGGAGAUUGUAUUAAGUGUGGUGAAGUGUUAAUAAAUCAAAAACCGGGAUAUAUUUGUAAAGAUUGUGCAAAUAAUUGGGUAAAUUAUCGUGACAUUUUAGAAAAUAAAUAUUUUAUCGAUAUUUAUGUGUAAUUUAGCCUGUUAAAAAAAAAAAAAUAUAAAUAUCAUUGUUAUUAAUAUUGUUAAUAAAUAAGUAUAUAUAUAUUUAUAUAAGAGAAAUAAAAGGAAAAAGAAAAAUAAAAAAAAGAGAGAGAAAGAGUAUAAAAAUAAAAAACAAAAGAAAAAAAAAAUAAUAAUAAUAGGAAAAAUAAUAAUUAAUUAUUGACAUAAAAAUAUAUAUUGCUAAACUUUUAUUAAUAUUCUAAAUUAUUAUUAAAUUAAAAAAUUGUAACCACUGUGGGGAAGUUUUGCUUAAAGCCCAGCCAGCAAAAAAUUGCGAUCUUUGCAAGCAAUUGUUUUUGUGGAAAGAAGAAGAAUUAUUUGCUAAAGUAUUUUUGUAUGUUGAUGAACCAUGGGGUGAAAAUAAUUAAAUAAAUUUUUUUUUUAAGUUACCUUUUUUUUAAAAAAUGAAGAAAUGAA
RNA transcript from Microplitis demolitor, 2783 nucleotides. RefSeq lists it as uncharacterized. The record is from RefSeq and is a predicted model, not a curated record. The transcript is spliced from 3 exons. Lineage: Eukaryota; Metazoa; Arthropoda; Insecta; Hymenoptera; Braconidae.